RNAcentral lists this small RNA (413 nucleotides) under Pongo abelii (Sumatran orangutan). Its description in RNAcentral is "processed transcript". The record is from RNAcentral. Lineage: Eukaryota; Metazoa; Chordata; Mammalia; Primates; Hominidae.
CUAGACUGAAGUACCAACUAAAUCAUCUCCUUUCAAAUUAUCACCGACACCAUCAUGGAUUCAAGCACCGCACACAGUCCGGUGUUUCUGGUAUUUCCUCCAGAAAUCACUGCUUCAGAAUAUGAGUCCACAGAACUUUCAACCACGACCUUUUCAACUCAAAGCCCCUUGCAAAAAUUAUUUGCUACAAAAAUGAAAAUCUUAGGGGAUAUCCAUUCUGGGGCUCUGUUUUGUUCAUUAAUUCUGGAGCCUUCCUAAUUGCACUGAAAAGAAAAACCACAGAAACUCUGAUAAUAUUGAGCCGAAUAAUGAAUUUUCUUAGUGCCCUGGGAGCAAUAGCUGGAAUCAUUCUCCUCACAUUUGGUUUCAUCCUAGAUCAAAACUACAUUUGUGGUUAUUCUCACCAAAAUAGU